Molecule: ribosomal RNA, 119 nt
Filed under: uncultured bacterium
Lineage: Bacteria
Description: partial 16S ribosomal RNA
Rfam family: Bacterial small subunit ribosomal RNA
Source: RNAcentral
UGCUACGGUGAAUACGUUCCCGGGCCUUGUACACACCGCCCGUCAAACAAUGGAAAUUGGGGGUACCUAAAGUCGAUAACCGCAAGGAGUCGCCUAGGGUAAAACCGAUAACUGGUGUU